AGUAUCUUGUGAACCAGCAUCAUUGUGAUCCUAGAAGUAAGUAUGUAAUUAUAAACUUGUGAUUUUCAUGCGAUAUAGAUUAUGUAUGUCACCAGUAUGAAUGGUUUUGAAGCGUAGCCGCGUUGUAUGCAUGAAUAAUAUAGCUAGUUGCUAGUAGUUGCAUAGACUUGCUAGAGCUGGGAUGUACUCGUUUGUUGUCAUCUAAAGAAGCUAAACUUCUACUUGGCUUUACAUGAGGUCAGAGGUCACCACUAACCUGGAAGGAACGCAAUUUGGAAGUGAAGCCGGUUGAAAACAAAUGAAGUCAAUAGAGAUUCUGUGCAUGAUAUAGAUUACAGAUCUAUACAAUGUUUUUAUUAUUGUUUGCAGUGUUUUUAUUGUAGAAGUGAUAUCGAGUUUGCAAUGCAUUGCGCAUGCGCAGAACACAAUGCCAUGUGCUUAUUAUAAAUGUUGGUUUGCCUCUGCGGCAGUUGCUGCAUGUUCUCGCUUCAAUGACUAUGGCCAAGCUUGUAUAUAAAACAAUCUUCAUUUGAUACAUUGUAACGGCUGGCUUACGAGACUACGAAUUUCUAAUCUACUUCAUUUCCAACUCGUUUUCCUUCCAUGUGGCUUUACUUCUGAGUUAGUGGUGACCUCUGACCUCCUGUAAAACCAAUUGGAGGUUUCGCUUGUAAAGAGACCUUAAAUAGUAAAAUGAUAGCAACACAAAGUAAAAUAAUUACAGAACUAUAGCAACUACUAGCAACUAUUAAUACAACAUGGCUAUUAACUUCAUUUAAAAUGUUCACUUCCAAGUUGUGUUACUUCCACGUGGCCUCACUUUCGAGUUAGUGGUGACCUCUAAACUAUAGGAAUUGAAUUGCUCUAAUGGGCUUCCGUAGACAUUUGGAUGGUUCUCUAUUGUGCUACCAUGCAGUUGCUGCAGACAAUGAACUUGGAAGCUGGACAUGAUAAAAUUAUAGUAUAAUCAUUUCUCUGUAGCUGUAUUUUCAGUGAAGUAUAGACAUUAAUUUACCACGUGUUUUAUACAUACAGUUUACUAUCGCUAUAGAUAUAUAAUCUAUCCCAAGCCUAUUUUCUCCCUUCCGUUUUAUAAAAAAAGUUGACCUGUGGGGACGAGGCUAUAAUAGGUAUGCAUGAAAUAAUUAUGAAAAAUAUCAGUAAGUAUAUAGCUAUAAUAGUGUGUUUGGACCGGAUUGAGAAGAAAGUUACCCUUUUCUGGAUAUCAGACAAGACACUAUAGACUUUUAGUGAUGACAUUAAUUUGUGUGAACAUCCUUGGCACUGAUCAUGUAGUGGUCAAUUGUAUUCCGUGGAUCCAUAAUUAGUUUCGCAACAAUAGUAUAGCUAUAGUAGUCCAAGCAUGUUCCAGUAUACUGCGUGUCAGUUAUCCACUUAUAAUGUCCACGUACACCUUUUUAGUAUUGUCACUAGCAUCAUUGUGAUCCAUCAGUUGUAUCAUUGUACGUUUAAAUAGACCACACCCACUAAUUUUCUUCUUUAUAAUACUGUGCUUUUUACUUCUCUAUGCAUGUACGUAGUACAGUUGCAAAUUUAAAAUUGUAAAAUCAGACGUAACAUUUCACUUCAACUUAUUGGUAACUGCUGUUAUCAGUGAAAUGACAGUUUUACUAUUGCCAAAAGUGUAAGCCUCGAUAAGAGGCCGCGGGUAUUUAUUAUAAUUAUUUGAUGGGCGUAUAUUCGAAUAAAACCUCAUGCACUAUAGCUGUUCGGGAAAAUACACUUAAAGUCUGAAUUCGACCUUCAUAAAGUUGUCGUAACUUUGUCAAACUUUACUGAAAUUCAUAAUUAUUAUACCAUUGGAUUCCUUGUUAAAAAAGCGCUUUUACUAUAAUGCUCAAUAGAGUUGGUAAGCUCCAACCAGCUAAAAGUUAGCAUUUUCCAUGUAGAAGUCCCUGGCAUACUUGUCAACCACAUAAAGCAUAAAUGAAGCCAUAAUUUACCACAUAAAUUCCGGGCCGAACUCAACGCAAAUAGACUUUAGUCCCCUCUUGUACCUACAGAAAAUGGUGGGCAUGUAUUCGCGAGGGUAUAAUUAUUAAAUGCAUGUGUGUGUUUUUCACUGCAUGUUAACUUGUUUCUAGUGUCCACAACUUGCUACCAUUGCAGUGGCGGAUCCAGGGGGAGAUCCAAGGGAGCAAAUUAAGGAACCCCCCUUUAAUUUGCUCAGAAUAUUAGAAUUGAUUUUUAGCAAUCUACAGUCAUUUACAGUCAUAUUUUACCUAUUCUACAGAUGUACUAAGGUCAAUACCUGCAUGCAUGCAGUCAACUCUAGAAGGAACAGAAGCUAGCUAAAGUGGCAGCUUCUUCUUUCUCAACUGGAUCGUGGGUUGCCAGUGGGUUGUUCACUGUAUACUGCUCUUUUUGGACAAAGGUUUUCUCACUGUUCAAAGGUUUUGAAAUGGACUAAGAAAAAAUACAUUGGAUUCUUGGAUGUAUACCACGCUCCAUGCAUUCACUCCAAGCAUCGCUACUGGGUGGGACUGCUCCUCUUUGUUCCGAUUAUCCAUAAUCUAGUAGUUGCCAUGGCUCCAGACAUGUCUCUCCCUGUGUUAUCAUCUGGGGUUCUAUCAGUUGGACUGAUAUUGUCUGGAAAUUAUUAUUAAUUUGUUAUAAAAGUAAGUUUUAUGAUUCCCUUGAAACUCUCUACCUAUUCAUCAUAAUUAUUUGCAUUUGGUACCUUCUAUAUAUGUCAAAGAGACAAAGAGAGAUCAGUCAGCACUGUCUAUAGCCAAUACUUCAAUGGCUAUAUCAAUCACCCUAGCUCUUCUUAUAACAUUCUGCUAUUUUUACCAAUUCUUAUACUCAAGAAAACUAAUACAUGGCUGAAAAUCGAGGACACCGUAAGAAACUUAGGAGCUGUAGACUGUAGUUGCAUGCAGACAUGAGACUCCAACAAGCUAACCAAUGCCUGGGAAAAGUAUAAUUAGCGUUCCCUCUAUGAGUGUCCACAAGGCUGAUGGACAAGGUCAGCAGAAAGUACAGCAGCAAUGGAUCACGAGGCAGCAAGGACAUGCAAGUGAUGAGUGUCGUGGCUAUCAGUUAUAGUUUUGCAUAAUUAUUAUUAUAACAGCUAUAGGCAGCAUCAGCUAUAGGCAGCAUCAGCGUGACAGUAACAAUGUUAUUGCAUGCAUUUUACUGAUUCAUUGUACAGAAGUGCGAAUGCUAGAAGAACUUGGAAGAGGGAGUUUUGGAGUAGUCCAUCGUGCUAUGCAUGUAUGGAGGGGUACUUCAGUUUCUGCCAAAAUCUUGCCAGUGGGACAUAAUAUGCAUGCAUGCAUGGGCUCUCAGAUGCAGUUUCAAGGGAGAUUGCUGUAUAUGCAUGGGUAUAUAUAUAUAUAAUUAUAGGAAAUACAUGAACACAAUUUUAAGUCGUGUUUCCUAUAUUUUAUAUAUAGAAGUGUACAUGCAGCAUCCCAACAUACUCUCAUUACUGGGAUCGAGUUAUUAUCCAAGAGACGAGGCUCCUAUAAUCAUCACCAACUGCAUAUGCUAAUUUUUGACUCAUUAAGAAUGUCACUGCUGAGACUGAGUGACUGAAGUGCAGAUUGGAUUCCAAGUGGCUCAAGCUCUACGAUAUAUGCACACUUCUAAUCCUCCUACAAUUCACCUUGAUGUGAAACCAGCAAAUGUCCUUGUACGUCUAAAAUGUCUCUGAGAAAGACGGCCUGGUAUACACUGUUUACGCAUGCGCCAGAAUUACCCAGAAUCUGGGUAAUCGUAAAUUGCAGUAUAUUUAUCAGUAUUCUUAUUCCGCAUUAGUUUGUAAAACAUUGAUAUCCGUUUCAUUUAUAAUGAUGUCAUUGAAAAAAGAAAUCUAGUCCAAGUUGUGUCAGUAAUGGCUGCUACCUUCUCUUCUGCUCUCGCGUACGCGUUAUCCUGUGUUGGAAAACCAGGUCUAGUGAAAGACAAGCAGCUGGAGGCGUUGAAGUGUCUGUACGCUGGUGUUUAUGUGGGUACCGUACCGACCGGCUAUGGCAAGUCCCAGAGCAAGUCCAUCUGCUUUCCAGACACUCCCUUUCUUGAUUGAUGUGAAGCUUGACAGGACCAGUGCACCUCUCUCUGAAAGAAGUGUUGUGAUGGUGAUUUCUCCUCUUGUUUCUCUGAGUGAAGCCAUCUUCAAAGUGUUGGUGUGUCUGUUCGACGUUCAGUGCCAUUCUCUCUGGAAGGAAGUAUUGUUGUGACAUUUGCCGAAAAUUGGUCACAGAGUAAGUACGUGGUGAUCCGAGAACUGUGUGGCCUGAAUGUGUUUACAAUCCGAGGGACUUGUGUGUAUCCGAUCCGAGGGACUUGUUGCUUGAGUGUGUAUCCGGACUUGUUGCUUGAGUGUGUAUUAAUGGAUAGUGCUUUCAAUGGUUUAACUAAUUUCUUAUGAGAUUAACUUGUCGCCUGAGUGUGUAUCCGAUCCGAGCCUCAAGUUAAAUCUACAGACCUGAUGUUUUACUUAGCUGUCUCUGUCUACAGUAUAUUAUAUACAGAGAGGUAGCCUCUUCUUUUUCUUUUUUCUGUUCUCUUUAUCACAAUAAGAUAAAAUACUGUUUUAACGUUCAAUGAGAUAAAAUACGGUAAAUAAUAAAUUAAUUGUCCACCCACGCG
Halichondria panicea is the source of this 4617-nucleotide long non-coding RNA. RefSeq lists it as uncharacterized. Lineage: Eukaryota; Metazoa; Porifera; Demospongiae; Suberitida; Halichondriidae. The record is from RefSeq and is a predicted model, not a curated record. The transcript has 3 exons.